Molecule: ribosomal RNA, 935 nt
Filed under: uncultured bacterium
Lineage: Bacteria
Description: bacterial SSU rRNA
Rfam family: Bacterial small subunit ribosomal RNA
Source: RNAcentral
AGAGUUUGAUCCUGGCUCAGAUUGAACGCUGGCGGCAGGCCUAACACAUGCAAGUCGAGCGGUAACAGAAAGUAGCUUGCUACUUUGCUGACGAGCGGCGGACGGGUGAGUAAUGCUUGGGAACAUGCCUUGAGGUGGGGGACAACAGUUGGAAACGACUGCUAAUACCGCAUAAUGUCUACGGACCAAAGGGGGCUUCGGCUCUCGCCUUUAGAUUGGCCCAAGUGGGAUUAGCUAGUUGGUGAGGUAAUGGCUCACCAAGGCGACGAUCCCUAGCUGGUUUGAGAGGAUGAUCAGCCACACUGGGACUGAGACACGGCCCAGACUCCUACGGGAGGCAGCAGUGGGGAAUAUUGCACAAUGGGCGCAAGCCUGAUGCAGCCAUGCCGCGUGUGUGAAGAAGGCCUUCGGGUUGUAAAGCACUUUCAGUCAGGAGGAAAGGUUAGUAGUUAAUACCUGCUAGCUGUGACGUUACUGACAGAAGAAGCACCGGCUAACUCCGUGCCAGCAGCCGCGGUAAUACGGAGGGUGCGAGCGUUAAUCGGAAUUACUGGGCGUAAAGCGUACGCAGGCGGUUUGUUAAGCGAGAUGUGAAAGCCCCGGGCUCAACCUGGGAACUGCAUUUCGAACUGGCAAACUAGAGUGUGAUAGAGGGUGGUAGAAUUUCAGGUGUAGCGGUGAAAUGCGUAGAGAUCUGAAGGAAUACCGAUGGCGAAGGCAGCCACCUGGGUCAACACUGACGCUCAUGUACGAAAGCGUGGGGAGCAUACAGGAUUAGAUACCCUGGUAGUCCACGCCGUAAACGAUGUCUACUAGAAGCACGGAACCUCGGUUCUGUUUUUCAAAGCUAACGCAUUAAGUAGACCGCCUGGGGAGUACGGCCGCAAGGUUAAAACUCAAAUGAAUUGACGGGGGCCCGCACAAGCGGUGGAGCA